AGCAGUGUGGCUCAGUGGAAAGAGCACGGGCUUGGGAGUCAGAGGUAAUGGGUUCGAAUCCCGGCUCUGCCA
This 72-nucleotide transfer RNA is filed under the name Ornithorhynchus anatinus (platypus). It matches the Rfam family "tRNA". Rfam says of the family: Transfer RNA (tRNA) molecules are approximately 80 nucleotides in length. Their secondary structure includes four short double-helical elements and three loops (D, anti-codon, and T loops). The record is from Rfam by way of RNAcentral. Lineage: Eukaryota; Metazoa; Chordata; Mammalia; Monotremata; Ornithorhynchidae.